UCAUGGAUUAUUUCAAUAUUUUUGUAAUAAAAAAUAUAGGGUAUACAUAUAGGCAUCAUCACUUUUUUUAUAGACCUGGAAAUCAUUUAAAAUACUUUAAGCAUCAUAAUUACUUGGGAUGUCAGAAACUGGUCCACAAAUUCCAUCAGCCUGCCUCAGCAGAUGGAGAACAUUUGUCUCCUGCAAGACCACCCUACUUUGCAAUGUUGGUGCCCCCAGGAACCUGGCCAGGGGUGCUAUCAGAAUAUCAGGUGACGAGAGAAUCAGCUUAACUAGAAAGGGCUUGUCAAGACUGGCCAAUGUUUCCCAGGAAAUCAAAGAUGUAAAUGAUUACUUUCAUCCGUCCAUUGUGACAAACCUGACCACAGUGGAAGACGUCUUAACCUCCUUCCCUGGUUUUAUAUUAACCCAACUGAUAUAUUAAAUAUUAGUCGUCACUAAAAAAAAAAAGAAAGAAAGAAAAAAGUCAGUUUAACUUAGUUAUUUAGUUAUUUGGACUGUCCAAUUCACUUAAAAUAGUCAAGUUUUAUAAUCACCACCUAUAAUGGGUGUGUCAUACAGAGACUGCUGUCCUCAUGAUGACAUCCACAGGAAAUGACAGAGGGCUCAACCUAGGACUUCUUUUGGUACAAGCCCCAAAGCAAUCUUUAAAAGGUAGAUGAUUUUUACCAGUAAACAUGCCUUCCUAGUACUCCAUGAUUUGACCCUCCAAGCAAGAUUUCCACUAAAAAAUAAUAGUCUUUUGUUCAGAUGUGAAAAGAUUGCCUAGUCACCAGUAAAGGCCCAGGAAGAUGCUCUUCUUGCCAGCAAUUGGUGAAAACAUUCCAUCCCCUUUGUAGGAGGAAAAAAUGAUUAUGUUGGCAAAUUCCUCACUCUUAUGCAGAACCGUGAGUUAUUAGCUUCAUUAUUUCCAAGACAACUUUUAAUUGAUGAUCUUUGGAAACUGAAUUGCUCAACUGAACUAUGUCUUUGAUUCCAUGAAUAAAUAACAGGUUACAGUAUAAUAGUGUCAAUCAGCACAAACCCAAAAGGCCCCAUCACUCUUCAAUCAUUUCUUCCGAAGAUUUCAUUUUCAGUCUGCCUUUGAACCCUCCACAGACAGUAACUGAAGAAUCUAACAGGAGCAAACUAAGGUUAGCACACAAACUGGAAAUGCUGGAUUCUUUGUCUGUGGGCUCCACCUUCCUGUGUCUGAGUCUAUUAAUUCUUUAAGGGGGAUCUGCCCUUGUCCUCCCUUUUUGCGUAGGACCACGAAAUUUUCUAAAAGAAAACAUUGUAAUUUUUAUUUACUUUCAAAUUAGCAUUUCUAAAUGCAACCAUAUUUAAGAUUAAGGAACAUAUAUGUCUUAACAUACCGAGACUAAGUAUUUGUGUGGAAGAAAAGAAUUUUUCCGUGUAAGUCAAAGUUUGGUCCCCCAAAAUGACUAUGUCCUUUAAAUUCUUUUCUCACAUUUAUAUUGUCCUACUUAACUAUGUUCUGUCUACAUUUACAUUGUCCUACUUAACUAUGUUCUGUCUAGUUCAGUAACAUUGACUUUGCAGACACUCAGUUACUACUCACUUAUGACAAUGCUGUGAACCCAGUCAAUAAAAUAAAUUCUCCUACUGACAUGGCAAGAAUAUGCAAUUCAAGUAUUAGCAAGAGAAACAAUGCAAAGAUAAUAUGAAGAUAAAAGUAUAAUGAAGUAUUUCUACUUAAUUUCUAAAUGCUCAAUUUAUCUUGCUCUAUGAAUAAAUGAAGCAACAGCACUGACCAAUUAAAAGUGAAUGGAAAUAAUUGAAAUCUCAAUGACUGGUUUUUUUAAAUAUCAUAUAUAUGUGUGUAUGUCAUAUAUAUAUUGUAUUAUGUAUAUUAUAUAUGUGUAUGGAGAUAUAUAUAUAUAUAUAUAUAUACACACACACACCUAAAGUAACAGAGAUGAAAAGGAUAAAGUAUAUACUGCCCUUUCAUGCAUAUAAAUUGGGAUGUUAUUGACACAUGAAAUUUAGAUAAAAAGUUUUUUCCUACUUCUUUUUCAACAUCAGCCCAGGCUUACAAUCCCUGUCUAUAAGACGUCAACAAACUUGUGAAUUUAGUUGGAAAUACCUACGUAUAAUUUAGCCCUUUUAGUUUGAAUGAGCUUUAUUACUCCUUAAGGAUCUCAUCUUUUAAGCAGCUAAAUAGAAGAGUUUUGAAUCAUUUCGAAGUUUCUUUCUCUGAACCAAGUGAAUUGAGCAAAGAAAACCUCUGGUAUCCUUACCAGGAUUGUGUAAGGUUACAAAUCUGCCUUUAAAUGUACCAAAUGCCGUUGAGUGGAAACAAGUUCUGACACAAUGUUUGGAAAACAAUCUAGAGAUUUUUUUCUAAUGAACCAUUUUCUAGACUAAAUACGUGCUCCCCUGCAUUCUCACACAUCUUUCCAUUAGCCGUUACUGUUUCCGUAUAAAACUCGGAUGCAAUGCCCACAUUUCUAUGUUUCUAAGGAGAAUUCCUUAAAGACUUUGUAAAAAUAGCUCCAGCCGUCUUUCAGAAAUAUAGCUCAGAGGAUGUUGAAAUGCAUGGUGAAAACACAACAGGACUGAGGUGGUUGUUUCUAUAAUUUCAGUGAUGGAUGCAGAUCAACUCAUGUUCAUUUAUCUUCAGCAAUCCAAUGUUACCUUUGAGAACAAUCAAAAUGAUUGCUUCGGCCAGCUUGUGGCUCCUAACACCCCUUCGCCCCAUCUGAAGCUAGAGCAUUUCAAAAUGGCUAAGGAUGGGCCAUUUCCCUCUAUCACCCUCCCCCUUACUCCCUGGCCCUGUAUCAGGCUGUGAAAUGAUCUUAACAGCAGGGUUGCAUCUCUCUCCUCACUCAGGCAGGCUCCACUGUCCACUACAGAGUUCCCUCUACGGACAUAUGUCUUGUCCAGUGGCUUUCCUAAAAAUGAGCAUGUGGAAAGACUCAAUAUGUGCCUGUGAUCAACAACCUCAACAGUCUAAUUACUCAUUCAAAAGUAAAACUCUGCAAAAUGUGGGUGGAAUUGUAUAAAAACACAAUGAGCCAUUUAAUUUUGCUAAUUGUAGCAAUUAGGCUAGCAGGCACACAGCCUGAGCUCACAGCAGAAAGCCAAAUGGAAGAAGUGGCAGACAGCCAUUUGCCCACAGAAAUGAGGGGUUCAGAAAUUCUCCCCGGAGUCUCUGAGGCAUCAUGUUGUUUCACCAUCCAUCUGAAGCUCUUUCUCUAGAUUCCACAAGAAAAAAAAAUCAGAUUUUUGUUAUAUUGCAGGCAAUGAUCUACCCAGAAAUGUGAAACUUCAACCUUUUGUGGCCUGUGUUCUGCUAAAUAAGAGAUGGUUUAAUGUCCCUGAAAUGUUUAAUCAUUUUGCUGAAAUAUUUUCAUGAUACACUGACAUAAUGUAAGUCAGAAACACUGACCAAGUCAAAUUUUUGCUGUGGUUAUGUUUUUUCCCCUUUGGUUUUCUUGCAUUUCAGUUCCCUAUAUUGAUAGUAGCUUACCGUCAUGGUGAGCCUAUCGUGUGCCCAGUGCUGUGCUAAAAAGCUUCAUCUCUGUGAUCUCAUUUAAUCCUCAAAACUGUCCGCGAGUUAAGUACCAUUUGCAGAUGACAAAAGUUAAACUCCAAGAUGUUAAACAAAUUGCCAGGGGUCUCACAGCUAGGAAACAGUGGAGCUAAGAGUUGAACACAACUUGUAACAACUUUUAACAACUGCAAAUCCUUCUAGAAGACCAAAGAAUGUUUUCCCAACAAAAUCUGUUCCUGAUUUGGCAAGCUUCCAGGAGAAAAAAAGUGUGGUCUGACGAUCAAAUGUUUCGAAGAAAAUUUUGUUUAAAAGUCAAAUAUGUCUUUCAAAAUGAAAAGUUAAAAAUUAAAAAGUCAGUGAUGAGAAGUGGAAGUCUCUAUCACCCGUAACUGAAUUUUACUUCAACACCCUAAUUCAUAGUAGGCAGAUUUAUGCUACAUUUUCAUUUCAGACAGCUGUACCCCUCCAUGACCCUAUGAUACACUAACGUAGUGAUAAUUGGAAAUUAACCCAAUGGCUCUUCUCUUGUGUUCAAUACAUGUACGCUACUGUCGUCAAAGUAGACAGACUGAAAAAUAACUCAACCCCACUACUUACUUUGAUACUGUGACCAAAAAAAGAAAGAAAGAGAGAAAGGAAAGAAAGACAGAUCAACAAAUGUUUGCAGUGACAUUCUUCUAUUCCAUUGCCAUAAUUUUUCCCUAAAUUUUAUUUAAGAGGAUUAUUAUCCCACUAGCUUUGCCCAUCAUAUAAAUCUAGGAACGUUAUUUUAGAUGGAAAGGUUAGAUGCAAAGAAUAUAGCAAAUAUUUGCCAAAUAUUUGUUGAAUUGAUUAUAAAAUAAUUGAUGUAUCCUUUCCCUCCUCACCUUGGAUGUAAUCUGUCUGAGGUCUACAGGAUGACAGAGUUGUAACCAUUCAAUGACAUAUAGUAAGCUGUGUGUGUUGUUGUUUGAAUUGAUGCUAAAAAGGUAGGCAAUAGUAAACCAAAAAUUUCCUCAAUGCUGGGGUUAAUUUUAAAAAGAUAUGCAGUGGUCACUUGGAAUUUAACAUAUUAAAAAUAAGAGCAGUCAUCUAUCUUCUUGCUUUAAUAAGCUUUAAGCAGAUCUUUAUGAAGUUAUGUUACAUUAGAAGUCACUAAUUUUUAUAGAAAAUAGCAUCUAAAAGAGAUCCGAGUGUUACUUCGGCACACUUCUUUUAUAGAUGAGACAACGGAGAUCCAAAAAGAUCAGGCCAUUUUUGUAAUCAGGAUUCCUUCAGUCGUUCAUUCCACAGGCAUGAUCUAUAUGGCGAGUAUUGGGGGGCAACACACAGCCAAGUGCAAGAGGAACCCACAUUCCAGCCGCUCACACUUUGGUUAUUAGUAGCAGAAUAAGAGUCUCCUGACUUCAACUCUAACUCUUCUGUUCUGCUACACUGCUUCUCUUUUUAAUAUCAAUCUUUAAUUCUAUACUAGAGUAAUAAACGUAAGCUUUCCCAAGAUUGUGUUAUGUUAACCUCACAAUACACAAUUGCCACACACAAUGACAAACAAAAGGCAAUGACACAAAUAUAAAUCAACAAUGGAAGACUACCUAUAAAGAGAAAAGCAAUGUUUUAAUUUGUUCUUAUGCCUCUCCAACACCAGAUAUUUUUAAAUCAAGGUCACAAAGCAACAAAAAAAUUAAAAUACUCUUUUGGCACAUAGGCUUUAACUCAAAACAAUCACCUCUGAGUAAAUUUUGGAGAUAUUCCUGAGAAUGUCUUUUAAGAAAGGGCAUGAAAUUGGGAUGCAUCUAAAAUAUCUGAAGAAUUUUCUAAUAGGCUAGUUCUCUGAUUCAGGAAACAUCCUUCAUUAUCACAUAAGAUACGUCUCCAGCAUGCUAGUUAUUUAGGAAUCACAAAUUUCCAGACAUAAACCUCAGUUAUUCCAACAUGAGAGGUUGUUCUAAAGCCAUACUGCUGAUGCCCAGAAGGGCAGCACUGUGCUGCGUGACCCUCAGGAGUCAGGAUGGCCCGACUCACCUGGUAUGGAUGCUCAUGCUGGCAUUAUACCCAACCCAAGCUCUCCUGCAAUAUGGCUCAGAGUAAUUGGCUUCCCAUGAUGUAAGGAAUGUAGGACUGUUUAAAGGUAAUUAUUAACUUGCUUAACUAAUUUUCUCUACGUGAAAUAAUUCUGGUCCAGGAAUGUUUAAACCCAUUGGUCCUCUAUGGAGUAAAAACAGAGAAAAAAGCUUAUUAAUUUUUACAAGUACAGAACAAUUCAAAGAAUUUCUUGGUGAGUUCCAUCAAGCAUCAAUAAAACAGUUGACCUAAAAAUGAUGCCAGGUCUGAAGAUUUCUAGGUUCAUGCCACGUUAACGGUUCGUUGCCAUGAUUACUGCUGUUUUAGCCAUUGCACCAGAUAAGAAGAAUAUAGUUACUGGUAGGAUGUUUGCAGAGCAAGAUCACAUUUAACAAAACAGAUCAACAUCAAAACGAAAUAGUCAAAUUGAUAAGCAAAUAUUACCAGCACAGUACCAACGCAAAAUUUUCUUUUGUGUUAUUAUUGAAGCCUGUCAUCUACUCUGUUAUUAGAAUUUCAGAAAAUGUAAGGUUUCAUGUUUUUAUUAUACUUCCACCUACCAAAUUAAGCUCGUGGCCGCUCUCCUCUCUCUAUUGCUUGAUUUGCAUUAAAAUGGAAGUAAUCAAAUUCUUACUUCAUUUAAAUACUACAAAUAUUAACAAAUGGAGAUGUUGUGUUUAAGCUAAUUUAACUUAACUGUUCUAGUGGUAUUCUGGUAUGGAGUUGUAGCAAAUCAACGCUCUCAAUUAUUUCAAAUUAAUUCAUUUAUCAGUAAGUCCUAAAACACCCCUGAGUGUGUUGAAGGUAUAUUUCGGGUUUCUAUCACCGUAAGAAAUUCCUAUUUUGAUUACAAACCAUUGGAACAUGUCUUAAUCAACACCAGUAUUUCAAUCCAUUAUGAUUCUGGAAAAUGAACACUUGCGUUUGAGUGUGCUGGACAUAUUAACUUACAAUUAACCCUGGACCUGUAGCUUGCAAUUGGCCCCACUGUAAAUUCUUACUUUAUUAAAAUUGGGAGCAAUAGCACAUUAUCCCAAAACCAAAGCAGAUCUGCCUGCUAGUCCAAAGAUUGUUAUUUUAUAUCCUUCUUUCAAAGAACUACUAAAGUCUUUAAUUUCCCUUAUUAACCUUUCUAACGUAUUGUACACAGAAAAGGAAAUGGAUCUCUGAAGUAUGUUUGGAAAGCCUUGUCUGAAUCAGACACUUGGUGAUCUGUGAAAAGAAAGAAAUCUCUCCUACCUCAAGAGAGGGGAAGGGGAGCAAGCCAGUCACGUUCAGAAAUUCCAGCCUCGACUGUCACAAAGCUGCAUAUUGCUGAUGCUAUCGAUUCCCUUCUUUUUUACAG
This 6881-nucleotide long non-coding RNA is filed under the name Equus asinus (donkey). RNAcentral describes it as "lncRNA (ENSEASG00005033624.1)". The record is from RNAcentral. Lineage: Eukaryota; Metazoa; Chordata; Mammalia; Perissodactyla; Equidae.